GUUGGCAGUUUGAUGAUUUAGUUGGUGCUCAUAUGGACAGGUUUUGGGGGCUCAGCUGGGCUCUGUGCAUUAUGUGUGACUAGUUAUCCAGGUGACCUGUCUUAUGGAGGUUGUGUGGCUGUCAGCUGAGGCACUUCAACUGUCUUUCCCGAGGUCUUUCAUACUUUAGCAGGCCGGCCUUUUGUGGUGCAGUCAGGCAACCAAGAAAGAGAACAAAAGACUAGGAGGAGUCUGGCAGCCUAAACUUGGAACUGUACUCCAUCACCUCUUCUGCAUCUUACCAGGCAAAGAAAGUCUACAAAGGCAGCCCAACUUAAAGGACCUGGAUGUAGGUCCACAUCCUGAUGGAUGGAGCUGCAAAACCACACUGAGAAGCUUGUGGAUAUGGAAUCGGGCCCAUUUGUGUAAUCACCCUACCACAAUCUUCCCUCUGGUCAAAAUUAUUCACAUCCCUCUACAUGCAAACUAUACUCAACCCCUCUGAAGACCCUCAAAAUUCUUACUCAAUUAUGUCAUAAGGCUCAGAAUCUAGGGUCUUGUAAUAUACAUAAAACCCAGACGUAGCACUUCUUGAUCUGGAGACCUGAUGAACAAAAAAGAAGGUGAUCUGUCUUCCCCACACACAACAUACAAUGAUGAAACAGGGAUAGGAUAGCAUAAUAGCAGUAAAUACUCACAUUUGAAACAGACUAGCACUGACCCACAGUAACUGUGACAUCCUUCUCGGCAGAAAUGUUGCCCUCUGGGAGAGGAGUGCUCCUUGAUUAGACCAUGGUCCCGCUCCCUGGAAAUGCUGCCCUAGUUGACUGUUGUCCACAACUCUUGGCUCUGCUCUCUGGGCUCUUGGUUCUACUCUCUGAGACAUGCUUUCUUCUCUGUCACCCUCCACAGCAACUUCUGAAGAAAUUAUCUAUGGUGCUUGCUCAAGAGUCUUCUCAGCCUGCUUCUUGGCCAUAGAAAGCCAUCCAGAAGGGCACCUGCAGGGGACUGAUGAGGUGCUGCGAGCCCAGCUCAGCAGGAAAUCCCAGCGUGCAAGCACAUUCAGAGGCUGGAAAUCAUCCUUAAUUGUACUGGACAGAAGAACAGCCCUGGAAAAUGGGCAUUGCAUGAGAAGAUUCUGUGCCGUCAUGGAAAGGAAAAACCCGGUGUUAGAGCUACCAGCAUUCUGGAAAUUGACUCUUUUCUUUCAUUCUUUCUUUUUUAAUAGCGAACAGUUGAGAGAAAGCUUUUAACAUUUUAAAUAUCCUUUAACUAUGGCUAUUUAUUUCUGUGAACUGAUUUACAUAUAAUUAGAAUACCUACAGGUUCUGAGGGAAAAUACAUCACAUUCCAAGCUAUAGAAAUACAAUGUUGGAGGCUUUUCAGGGAAUAGAG
This is a long non-coding RNA of Manis javanica (Malayan pangolin), 1374 nucleotides long. RefSeq lists it as uncharacterized. Lineage: Eukaryota; Metazoa; Chordata; Mammalia; Pholidota; Manidae. The record is from RefSeq and is a predicted model, not a curated record.